Molecule: ribosomal RNA, 253 nt
Filed under: uncultured bacterium
Lineage: Bacteria
Description: partial 16S ribosomal RNA
Rfam family: Bacterial small subunit ribosomal RNA
Source: RNAcentral
UACGGAGGGUGCAAGCAUUGAUCGGAAUUAUUGGGCGUAAAGGGCGCGUAGGCGGUAUAGAAAGUCAGAUGUGAAAUUCCGGGGCUCAACCCCGGAGCUGCAUUUGAAACUACUAAGCUAGAGUUCAGUUAGGGUAAACGGAAUUCCACGUGUAGCGGUGAAAUGCGUAGAUAUGUGGAAGAACACCAGUGGUGAAGACGGUUUACUGGGCUGAUACUGACGCUGAGGCGCGAAAGCAUGGGGAGCAAACAGG